AUCUUCCUAGUAUUAAAUAAUAGUAUAAGUGACUUCCAAUCACCCGGUCUUGGUUAAAAUCCAAGGAAAGAUA
Molecule: transfer RNA, 73 nt
Filed under: Ijimaia dofleini
Lineage: Eukaryota; Metazoa; Chordata; Actinopteri; Ateleopodiformes; Ateleopodidae
Also listed under: 1 other name
Description: tRNA-Gly
Rfam family: tRNA
About the family: Transfer RNA (tRNA) molecules are approximately 80 nucleotides in length. Their secondary structure includes four short double-helical elements and three loops (D, anti-codon, and T loops).
Source: RNAcentral